GACGAACGCUGGCGGCGUGCUUAACACAUGCAAGUCGAACGAAGAGCGACGGAAGCUUGCUUCUAUCAAUCUUAGUGGCGAACGGGUGAGUAACGCGUAAUCAACCUGCCCUUCAGAGGGGGACAACAGUUGGAAACGACUGCUAAUACCGCAUACGAUCUAACCUCGGCAUCGAGGAUAGAUGAAAGGUGGCCUCUACAUGUAAGCUAUCACUGAAGGAGGGGAUUGCGUCUGAUUAGCUAGUUGGAGGGGUAACGGCCCACCAAGGCGAUGAUCAGUAGCCGGUCUGAGAGGAUGAACGGCCACAAUGGGACUGAGACACGGCCCAGACUCCUACGGGAGGCAGCAGUGGGGAAUCUUCCGCAAUGGACGAAAGUCUGACGGAGCAACGCCGCGUGAGUGAUGACGGCCUUCGGGUUGUAAAGCUCUGUUAAUCGGGACGAAAGGCCUUCUUGCGAAUAGUGAGAAGGAUUGACGGUACCGGAAUAGAAAGCCACGGCUAACUACGUG
RNAcentral lists this ribosomal RNA (510 nucleotides) under uncultured bacterium. RNAcentral describes it as "partial 16S ribosomal RNA". It matches the Rfam family "Bacterial small subunit ribosomal RNA", at positions 28 to 507 of the family's 1533-position model. The record is from RNAcentral.